GUCGAACGGAAAGUGCCCAGCUUGCUGGGUGACUCGAGUGGCGAACGGGUGAGUAACACGUGGGUGAUCUGCCCUGCACUUUGGGAUAAGCCUGGGAAACUGGGUCUAAUACCGAAUAGGACUACGAAUCGCAUGGUUUGUGGUGGAAAGCUUUUGCGGUGUGGGAUGGGCCCGCGGCCUAUCAGCUUGUUGGUGGGGUGAUGGCCCACCAAGGCGACGACGGGUAGCCGGCCUGAGAGGGUGUCCGGCCACACUGGGACUGAGAUACGGCCCAGACUCCUACGGGAGGCAGCAGUGGGGAAUAUUGCACAAUGGGCGCAAGCCUGAUGCAGCGACGCCGCGUGAGGGAUGACGGCCUUCGGGUUGUAAACCUCUUUCAGUAUCGACGAAGCCUUCGGGUGACGGUAGGUACAGAAGAAGCACCGGCCAACUACGUGCCAGCAGCCGCGGUAAUACGUAGGGUGCGAGCGUUGUCCGGAAUUACUGGGCGUAAAGAGCUCGUAGGUGGUUUGUCGCGUUGUUCGUGAAAACCGGGGGCUUAACCCUCGGCGUGCGGGCGAUACGGGCAGACUGGAGUACUGCAGGGGAGACUGGAAUUCCUGGUGUAGCGGUGGAAUGCGCAGAUAUCAGGAGGAACACCGGUGGCGAAGGCGGGUCUCUGGGCAGUAACUGACGCUGAGGAGCGAAAGCGUGGGGAGCGAACAGGAUUAGAUACCCUGGUAGUCCACGCCGUAAACGGUGGGUACUAGGUGUGGGUUUCCUUCCUUGGGAUCCGUGCCGUAGCUAACGCAUUAAGUACCCCGCCUGGGGAGUACGGCCGCAAGGCUAAACUCAAAGGAAUUGACGGGGGCCCGCACAAGCGGCGGAACAUGUGGAUUAAUUCGAUGCAACGCGAGACCUUACCUGGGUUUGACAUGCACAGGACGCCGCAGAGAUGUCGGUCCCUGGGCCUGGGUGCAGUGUUCAUGCUGUCCUCAGCUCGGGGCGUGAAUGUUGGGUAGUCGGCACGAGCGCACCCUUGUUCCAUGUGCAGGCC
This 1036-nucleotide ribosomal RNA is filed under the name uncultured Actinomycetes bacterium. RNAcentral's name for it is "bacterial SSU rRNA". It matches the Rfam family "Bacterial small subunit ribosomal RNA", at positions 61 to 1123 of the family's 1533-position model. Lineage: Bacteria; Bacillati; Actinomycetota; Actinomycetes. The record is from RNAcentral.